GGGGGGGGGGGGGGGUCUUUAUGUUGAGUAUUCCAUUGCCUGUUUAUAACUUUAUGAUAGGCUGGAGAUGCUAGGAAAACUUGUUUCUGCUGUGCUCCGGAGGCUGUAGUCAAUUACCUCAUGCCCCAAAUAUCCCAAAGCCUGUGGGCCACUGUUACCUUAAAAAGUAUUAAUUUUGAAUUCUUGAUAUUGGCCUGUACGUCUAGUGUCACACUGCAUAUUUUCACAAAUUAGGUCCAUAGCUUUCUGGCACAGUGGAUAAUCUUAAAAUACUCCUGCAAUGGUGUUCUUGGAUUUCCAGAAUACAUCAUGCAUUCCUCAUAUGAAAUUUUUGGCUCAAAAGAGCUUUGUAAAGUUCUCCAAAGUUGAGCUUAGGCCAAACCUAUAUUCUUAUCCUUUGCUAGAGCUACUGAUGGUCCGAGUUUGUGAGGACCAUUCUUGACUCUUUAAAACUGGAUGCUCUAGUCUGUGAUGGAGAAUUGGUAAAGGUUGUGUUAUAACACCCCUUAGAGCAAAUAAUGAUAUUAGUUUUGCACAAGGAUAAUAUUUUCAGGGUACUUGUAGCCAUCCUUUUAAGUAGCAGAAAAAUUUCCUGAGGCCUGAUAAAAAUGUAUUUCCAUGAAAAUCCCGUGAUUGUGAUAUGCCCUAUUUAUGAUUUCAAUCAAUUGUUGGAGUGCAAAUUUAUUAGAAAAAUGCUCUAGUUGUUCAUGGCCAGUGCUCCAUUCAAGCAUGCGGUAGAAAACAAGAAAUUUGGAUUAGCUUGGGCUUUAGUUCUUUCAAAUAUUUUCCUGGUUUUUACAUAUUCUAGAUGUUUUGAGUUAAUCAUUUUUCUUUUCUUUUUGGUUUUGUGGAAAGGGGUUACUGUAUGGUGUCUAAUGGUUACGUAAGACGCUAUUCUGGAUUUGCAGGAUAGGUUACUAAAAAGAGUAGUUAUAUACUUAUAAUACUAAAUUUUUUAUUACAUAUUAUCACAUAGACCUUGGACCUUGCAAAUUGAUGUGAUAAUUUUAGAACACAUACAAAAAGAGUAAUCCAUAGUGUUACUAUUGCGACUGGACUCGUCAUAGUUUGAGUUUUAUCUAUUAAAAUUUGCUAUUGAGUAUUGAUUAAUAAAUAAAAAUAACAAAUAACAAAAAAAAAGAAAAG
Quercus robur (English oak) is the source of this 1146-nucleotide long non-coding RNA. RefSeq lists it as uncharacterized. The transcript has 2 exons. The record is from RefSeq and is a predicted model, not a curated record. NCBI's taxonomy places the organism in Eukaryota, Viridiplantae, Streptophyta, Magnoliopsida, Fagales, Fagaceae.